GGUAGAGCUACUGGAUGGCCGAUGGGCCUUCACGGGUUACUGACGUCAGCUAAACUCCGAAUGCCGGUAAGUGAGAGCGUAGCAGUGAGACAGUGGGGGAUAAGCUUCAUUGUCGAGAGGGAAACAGCCCAGACCACCAACUAAGGCCCCUAAGCGUGUGCUAAGUGGGAAAGGAUGUGGAGUUGCUUAGACAACCAGGAGGUUGGCUUAGAAGCAGCCAUCCUUGAAAGAGUGCGUAACAGCUCACUGGUCAAGUGAUUCUGCGCCGAUAAUGUAGCGGGGCUCAAGUACACCGCCGAAGUUGUGGCAAUGACCUUUUGGGGUUGUUGGGUAGGGGAGCGUCGUGUGGCCGUUGAAGCUGCGGUGUAAACCAGUGGUGGAGGCUAUGCGAGUGAGAAUGCAGGCAUGAGUAGCGAAAGAUGAGUGAGAAACUCAUCCGCCGGAUGAUCAAGGGUUCCAGGGUCAAGUUAAUCUGCCCUGGGUUAGUCGGGGCCUAAGGCGAGGCCGACAGGCGUAGUCGAUGGAUAACGGGUUGAUAUUCCCGUACCGGUGAAAAACCGCCCAUACUGAUAUUGUGAUGCUAACCAUGCGAAGCAUGAUGUGCAGGCUUUUGUUUGUGUGUUGUGUGGGUUGUGGGACCCGAUCUUUGGAGGUAAACGUGUUAACAGGUGUGACGCAGGAAGGUAGCCAAGCCACGCGAUGGUUGUCGUGGUCUAAGCGUGUAGGGUUGUCGGUUGUUAAAUGCGCCGGCUGUGUGCCUGAGACGUGAUGGGACCCUGUUUUUGGGGGAUUUGGUGAUCCUAUGCUGCCGAGAAAAGCAUCGGCGUGAGGUUUUAGCCGCCCGUACCCUAAACCGACACAGGUGAUCAGGUAGAGAAUACUAAGGCGAUCGAGAGAAUCAUGGUUAAGGAACUCGGCAAAAUGCCCCCGUAACUUCGGGAGAAGGGGGACCUUGAGCGUGAUGGGCACUUGCUGUCUGGAGCGUGUAUGGGUCGCAGAGACCAGGGGGAAGCGACUGUUUAUCAAAAACACAGGUCCGUGCGAAGUCGUAAGACGAUGUAUACGGACUGACUCCUGCCCGGUGCUGGAAGGUUAAGAGGAUUGGUUAGCCCUUUUUGGGCGAAGCUGAGAAUUUAAGCCCCAGUAAACGGCGGUGGUAACUAUAACCAUCCUAAGGUAGCGAAAUUCCUUGUCGGGUAAGUUCCGACCUGCACGAAUGGAGUAACGACUUCCCUACUGUCUCAACCAUGAACUCGGCGAAAUUGCAGUACGAGUAAAGAUGCUCGUUUCGCGCAGCAGGACGGAAAGACCCCGUGACCUUUACUAUAGUUUGGUAUUGGUGUUUGGUUUGGCUUGUGUAGGAUAGGUGGGAGACUGUGAAGCAUGGACGCUAGUUUGUGUGGAGUCGUUGUUGAAAUACCACUCUGGUCAAUCUGGAUGUCUAACUUCGGGCCAUGAUCUGGUUCAGGGACAGUGCCUGAUGGGUAGUUUAACUGGGGCGGUUGCCUCCUAAAGUGUAACGGAGGCGCCCAAAGGUUCCCUCAGCCUGGUUGGCAAUCAGGUGUUGAGUGUAAGUGCACAAGGGAGCUUGACUGUGAGAGUGGCGACUCGAGCAGGGACGAAAGUCGGGACUAGUGAUCCGGCGGUACGUUGUGGAACGGCCGUCGCUCAACGGAUAAAAGGUACCUCGGGGAUAACAGGCUGAUCUUGCCCAAGAGUCCAUAUCGACGGCAUGGUUUGGCACCUCGAUGUCGGCUCGUCGCAUCCUGGGGCUGGAGUCGGUCCCAAGGGUUGGGCUGUUCGCCCAUUAAAGCGGUACGCGAGCUGGGUUCAGAACGUCGUGAGACAGUUCGGUCCCUAUCCG
This 1864-nucleotide ribosomal RNA is filed under the name metagenome. RNAcentral describes it as "bacterial LSU rRNA". It matches the Rfam family "Bacterial large subunit ribosomal RNA", at positions 901 to 2644 of the family's 2925-position model. The record is from RNAcentral.